CUGGUGUAGCGGUGAAAUGCGCAGAUAUCAGGAGGAACACCGAUGGCGAAGGCAGGUCUCUGGGCAUUAACUGACGCUGAGGAGCGAAAGCAUGGGGAGCGAACAGGAUUAGAUACCCUGGUAGUCCAUGCCGUAAACGUUGGGCACUAGGUGUGGGGGACAUUCCACGUUUUCCGCGCCGUAGCUAACGCAUUAAGUGCCCCGCCUGGGGAGUACGGCCGCAAGGCUAAAACUCAAAGGAAUUGACGGGGGCCCGCACAAGCGGCGGAGCAUGCGGAUUAAUUCGAUGCAACGCGAAGAACCUUACCAAGGCUUGACAUGGGCCGGACCGGGCUGGAAACAGUCCUUCCCCUUUGGGGCCGGUUCACAGGUGGUGCAUGGUUGUCGUCAGCUCGUGUCGUGAGAUGUUGGGUUAAGUCCCGCAACGAGCGCAACCCUCGUUCCAUGUUGCCAGCGCGUAAUGGCGGGGACUCAUGGGAGACUGCCGGGGUCAACUCGGAGGAAGGUGGGGACGACGUCAAAUCAUCAUGCCCCUUAUGUCUUGGGCUUCACGCAUGCUACAAUGGCCGGUACAAAGGGUUGCGAUACUGUGAGGUGGAGCUAAUCCCAAAAAGCCGGUCUCAGUUCGGAUUGGGGUCUGCAACUCGACCCCAUGAAGUCGGAGUCGCUAGUAAUCGCAGAUCAGCAACGCUGCGGUGAAUACGUUCCCGGGCCUUGUACACACCGCCCGUCAAGUCACGAAAGUUGGUAACACCCGAAGCCGGUGGCCUAACCCCUUGUGGGAGGGAGCUGUCGAAGGU
This 800-nucleotide ribosomal RNA is filed under the name Arthrobacter sp. Its description in RNAcentral is "bacterial SSU rRNA". It matches the Rfam family "Bacterial small subunit ribosomal RNA", at positions 670 to 1463 of the family's 1533-position model. Lineage: Bacteria; Bacillati; Actinomycetota; Actinomycetes; Micrococcales; Micrococcaceae. The record is from RNAcentral.